CCUACGGGGGGCAGCAGUGGGGAAUAUUGCACAAUGGGGGAAACCCUGAUGCAGCGACGCCGCGUGAGUGAAGAAGUAUUUCGGUACGUAAAGCUCUAUCAGCAGGGAAGAAAAUGACGGUACCUGACUAAGAAGCCCCGGCUAACUACGUGCCAGCAGCCGCGGUAAUACGUAGGGGGCAAGCGUUAUCCGGAUUUACUGGGUGUAAAGGGAGCGUAGACGGCAGCGCAAGUCUGGAGUGAAAUCCCAUGGCUUAACCAUGGAACUGCUUUGGAAACUGUGCAGCUAGAGUGCAGGAGAGGUGAGCGGAAUUCCUAGUGUAGCGGUGAAAUGCGUAGAUAUUAGGAGGAACACCAGUGGCGAAGGCGGCUUACUGGACUGUAACUGACGUUGAGGCUCGAAAGCGUGGGGAGCAAACAGGAUUAGAUACCCCUGUAGUC
Molecule: ribosomal RNA, 440 nt
Filed under: uncultured bacterium
Lineage: Bacteria
Description: partial 16S ribosomal RNA
Rfam family: Bacterial small subunit ribosomal RNA
Source: RNAcentral